UGCUAUUCCUACUGCUCUCUCUUCGUCUGCCCACGUGUUCUCGCAUACCCCUAGAGCAUCGAGCCAGCGGGGUGGUGGCACUGGAAUCCUCAUCUCUCCCAAGUUCCCUUGGAGAGUUCAUCAAUGAGCUUGACGCCUUGAUAAGUUCCUUUCCUGAAGAUGGCUCACCUCUCACAGUUCUGGACCAUUUCCGGAGACCUUCUCCCCUACCUCACCUCGCUCAUCAACUCAUCCUUGACCGCUGGCUACGUCCCUUCCGUCUUCAAGAGAGCGAGAGUUGCACCCCUUCUGAAAAAACCUACACUCGAUCCCUCCGAUGUCAACAACUACAGACUAGUAUCCCUUCUUUCUUUUCU
RNAcentral lists this long non-coding RNA (356 nucleotides) under Salmo salar (Atlantic salmon). Its description in RNAcentral is "lncRNA (ENSSSAG00000085479.1)". Lineage: Eukaryota; Metazoa; Chordata; Actinopteri; Salmoniformes; Salmonidae. The record is from RNAcentral.